Molecule: RNA transcript, 7679 nt
Organism: Hemibagrus wyckioides
Lineage: Eukaryota; Metazoa; Chordata; Actinopteri; Siluriformes; Bagridae
Gene: nadk2
Gene name: NAD kinase 2, mitochondrial
Exons: 13
Source: RefSeq, a predicted model, not a curated record
GACGUAAAAGGCGCGUGCUUUAAAGAUGGCGGCGUCUGUGGAUGUCGGAAGUAACACUAGUGUUUUUAUUAGCACUCAAGUAAAGUCUAAACUUUAGGGGGGGGGAAACUGUUUCGAGUCGCUAGGACUGAUCACGUCGAUAAAUCACACCAGGACCUUUAAAGGAAAAUGGCAUAAAAAAAAGAAAGAAGAAGAAGCGGGUUUAAGAAGUGGGACAUGGUUUGCUAGCUGGCUAGCAGCGUCUAACCACGCCCACUACUGAAACGUUAGGCUGUUUUGCAUGCUGUUUUAACUAGGUUUAGUUUCAGUAGCUUGUGGUCUUGGAUGUCGCUUAGUCUCUGGCGCUAGCAGGGUUAACAGUUAGUUAAUCGAACUUUUCGUUAUGAUAACUAGCUGUUUAGUUGUAGCGUAGCUGGCAGGUGCGUGUGUGACCUUUGCUGUCGUUAUUACUUCCGAGCGAACUCUUCAACUUCUCUGGCACCGAGAGUGAUUAUCGAUAUUGCGCUUUAUUUGGAAUCGAGGGUCACUUUUAUACACACAUUAUUAUUAUUAUUUAAAGUCAACUUUGAUAUCCUGGUUCUGGUAAUGGUUCUGGGUGAACUUUUAAGCUAGCUAGUUGGCAAGCUAGUAAACUAGCUGGACUGACAGGUGGGCAGCUGUCUUCUUUUAAUAGCCACUAGACCUGGCAUUAAGUUUAAGCUCAUAUUAUACACCUGUCAGGGCGGCUGUGGGUGGAAACUAAUAACAUAUUUAGUAAAGUAUUUUCAUAGCAGAAAGUGAAUCUAUCUAAUAUUGCAUUGGAUAAGUCAUAUUCUACUAUUCAGUUGAACUUUUCUAGUUAAGGAUAGUUUUGCGUUAUUCCACUACUUUCGGCAUUAUUCUUGUCCAUCAGCAUCUGGAUAACAAAAAGCUUUAAGCAUCGAAUGACCAAACACAUUUGAGGCCACUGACAUUAUAUUGUUUUUAUUUUUCUGGACAGCUUUCUCAGGUUCCUUUGGACACACCGACUACUACUUAGCUAGGUGGGCAGCUGUACUUUGUCCAUAUACCUGCCAUUAAUCUAGUUUAUGAUUGAUAUAUAUAUAUAUAUAUAAUGUGUCAGGGUGGUAGGAAGAAAAGACAAUAAAAUAAUAUCUUGUGUACAGAAAUUAGAUCUUUCCAUUGCUGCCAUUUAUGGUUCUAUGAUCAGAAAACUACAAACGAAGUUAAUGCAUUGUUCAACCCGUCAGCUUUGGAUAUGUGAAAUCUUCCAGUAGAUUUUUACUCCCUGACCGGUUAAUUCACUGGCGCAAUUUUCCACCCAGAAAGUUUUUGUUUACUAGGGUCUCUUUGCACCCACAGUCUAUUCGGGGCCACUACGAUCCUCCCCAUCUUUCUUCUGUUUACGGCCCCUUUGGACCGAACCACUAGAGUUGCAAACUUUUGUCACUUAGAAUGACACUCCGUGCUUUAAGGACAUUUCUCGGCUGUCGAAAUCGUGUCGUGGCAAUCAUCAGUGGGAGCGGACGCCCAUAUCUCCAUCAGACCGGUGUGUGUCAAGGUGCUUCACAGGCUGACAGUGGUUUCAAACCUUCAAAAGUUGCAGUGGUGACUAAAACCACACGGUAUGAAUUUGAGCAGCAGAGGUAUCUCUGCGCUGGACUGUCAGAAGAGGAUCUCAAACAGCUGCUUGCCUUGAAGGGAUCCAGUUACAGCGGACUUCUGGAACGGCACAACAUACACACACACAAUGUUGGACACAUCGUGGACAAUCUGCAAAAACAGGGCAUGGAGGUCUGUGUGGUUAAAAGAGGAGAGUACGAUGAAGACACAGUCAGAUGGGCAGAUGCUAUUGUGUCUGCUGGAGGUGAUGGCACUAUGCUGCUGGUUGCAAGUAAAGUUUUUGAUAAGAACAAACCUGUAAUAGGAGUCAACACUGAUCCAGAACGGUCUGAGGGCCAUCUGUGCUUGCCUGUGCGCUAUACACAUGCAUUCUCUGAAGCAUUACGAAAACUUAGGAAGGGAGACUUCAGGUGGCAGUGGCGUCAGCGGAUCCGCAUGCACUUGGAGGGCACAGGGAUCAACCCCACUCCGGUGGAUCUGCACGAGCAGCAGUUGAGUUUAGAGCAACACACCAACGCACACCGCAUCACCACCAACUCCCAAACCAGAAGAACACAUGACACCUACACAUCGCCAUAUCUUCUUCCCGUCCGAGGACUCAAUGAAAUCUUCAUCGGAGAGUCUCUCUCCUCCAGGGGGAAGUAUAAAUCCUUCAAACCCCAUCUUACCCUCUCGCUCCAUAGGGCUUCCUACUAUGAGAUCUCGAUCGAUGAUGGACCAUGGGAGAAGCAGAAGAGCUCAGGACUUAGCGUUUGCACUGGAACUGGAUCCAAAGCUUGGUCUUAUAAUAUUAAUAAACUUGUGGAACAGACUGUGGAGGACGUCCUUCGAAUAGGCAAAGGAAAAACUGGUAUUGAUAUUCCACUAAACCAGGAAGUCAUCAGAAGUGUGACUGAUGCCUACAAUGAGGCUCUCAUAUUCAGUCCUGAGGAGAACCGAAUUUUCUUUAGCGUUCGAGAGCCCAUCGUCAACAGAGUGUUUUCCAACAGCCGCCAAAGAGGAUUUGCAAGCAAGGUGUGCGUCCGCUCAAGGUGCUGGGACGCCUGCAUGGUGGUGGACGGAGGAACAUCCUUCGAGUUCAACGAUGGUGCUAUUGCCACUAUCAGCUUGCACGAGGAGGACCUGCUGAAAACUGUUCUACUUGAUGACUGAACUCAUGAAUGUAGUUUAAUACUGAAGCGUCAUAAACCAUGUCUGGACUGGAAGACGAUCAUUGACGUAAGGUCAAAAACGGGUUACUGUCUUUCAACCUGAAGGCUCAUCAGUUGUUACAAACUUGUAAUUUUAUGGUUUUACAGGAAGGGUAAAAUCUUUUUUGUGGUGUUGCUAUGAAAUCCCAGCAGACUGACCAAGAUGGAAAUUGGAUCGUCUAUGGCAUUUUCGCCCAAACAGAAUGCCAUGCAUUUUGUUGGCAUUGUUCUAACUAAUAAGAAAGACGUAGAUGCAUUUAGAUCAAUUUUGUUUGCACUUUUGGCUCCCACCCAUGCAAAUGUGAAUACAAUCAGGGGACAUGCAGCUUUGAACACAAAGGGGCGAGUGAUUAUGGUGAAAAUUUUUCAGUUAAAUGAUUUUCAUGGUAUAUCUUCCAAACAUUUAAAGCCAUCAGAACAGUAUAAUAUAAUAAAUCAGUUUUGUUCCAUAGUAAUAGGGCUUAAUGACAAAAUAAUCAAGCCCUUUUACAUCUACCUACAGUAUUCAAAGACUUUCCUAAAACAGAAGCCAAUUAAAACAAAGUGACAGUGAUAAGCAGUUACUAAAUAUGAAUAAAUGAAUGCAGUAAACGUGCACACGUGAGCACUCCAGAAGGCCUGAUACACUCCUGUGUUAAUGAGCUUGGCCUUUUUCUGUUCUGCAGGCUUAUCUCUGAUCAUGUUGGUGAGUAUAAAAAACAAUGUCCAAAAAGUUUGUGAUUUGUCAGAUCCCAGUCUUGAUACACAACUCUAGUUUGUUUUUGUUUUUUUUAAGUGGUCAGUGUUACUGAAGUACUGAUAUGUGAUAUCAUGGAAUAACUGACUUCACUGCGGAUGUACCAUCAUAUCACCGCCCCUAGUAUUCAAGCAUGCAUAUCACGUUAAUGUCUCAUAGCAGUAAAUGUAGGUGACUGGAUUUGUGUUUGGAUUUUGACAUUUUUCCACUCAUCAAAGGGAACUCAUUCAAAAUGGGUGAAGUUAUUCAGUAGAACUGAUAAAGCCCUUCAGGUGAGUAACCCAAAUUCAUCUGCAAUUGCCUGGAUGUACUGCAAUAAGACAUUCCACAUUGAAUUGUCCAUUUACAACACUUAGUGGCCAUGUAGUAUUAUUCGAGACAGGAAGCCCAUGUUAUUGGCAGAUCUCAGAGCAUUACUUUUUAUUGCUCCACUACAAUGUGCCAUAAUGUUUUGUAUAGAGAAAAGACAAGAGUGGAAUGUCUAUAGUGCUGAAUUCUUUAUUAAAAAAAAAAAAACUUUGUUUCAUGUUCUAAUUUCAGAUGUUGUGUAGACCAAAUACCAAAGCAUUGACCGUUUCCCUUUUAUUAUAUUUACCCAGGUUUAUUUUCCAAAGUAGUUACAUCCUGGUACGACUCUCCUACCAAUAUAUACAUAUACACGUUCUAUCAGCUGCCUGGGGCAUGAUUCGUAUUCAAACUGACAGUUUCUUGACCACAGGGUAAAACUUGACAGUAUAAGAAUUUCAUGGACUCAGCACCGUUCCUCAUAUUUCCCAUAGAAAAGAGAAGAAAAUUGAGCAAAAAUAUUUAUUUAAAAUCAGUGAAUAUCCGAACAAAUAAGUAAAUAUCCAUAAAAAUACAUUGUCAAGUUCUCAAUACAGAAUUGUUUCAAGUUUCCACAUUUUCAUAAUCGGUCGAAAAAAAAAGGCCAACCGAUUUCAAGACUUCAGGUAUUUUGGUCACAAAAACAUUAUAAAAAAAAAAAAAAAAAGUGAUAUACAAAACGCUAGAAUUAUUUAGAAGUUAUUAACAAUGAAAUGUCAGACAAAAUGAGUAAACAAAUGUAUUGCAACUGGUUUCCAAAAAAAAAAAAAAAAAGGAACUUUGGGGGAGGAAUUGUACCUGAUCAAUAGUACUUACACAUGUUCUCUCUUUGUUGUUACUUGGUUUGCAAAAAUAAUUUUUAGGCUAUGGAGCAGUGUUUCAGAUUAGCCAUAUCGAGACAUGAGCUGAGGAUGAGAGAUCAGAAUUGUGAUUGUCAGAAACAGACAAUUAGCCAAGAACAGGUACGUCUUACACGAGGGCGGCUGGGUGAAUCUGGUAGCAGCGACUCAGCGCUAAGUGUCUCAGUGAGGGGAGCUGCUGCAGGAAGGGGAAACUGUCUGUGGUCACGAGAACGCUGUCGCUGUGAGAAAAGCAUUUCAAAUGAAUACAUAUCUUUGUAAAGAAUGCUUACACUGCACUGUACACCAAUUAACCUCAAGUUGUAGCACAGUGGUUAAAGAGUUCAGAAGUUUAAAUCCCAGGAUACACCAAGCUGCCACUGCUGGGUCCUAAAAAGUUGUAUAAAUGAGAUAAAUGUGGAUAAGAGCGCCUGCCAUGAAUGUAAAUGCCUCUUACCUUAAAUCCAAAUGUGUGAGAUUCGGACAUCUUUCCACCAGCACCUUCACAUCUAAACGACAGAGGAAAAGAAGUGGACGUUAUACCAAGGAUAAAGUUAAAUCAUCUCUUUUACAGUAGCUGCUACUACUGCAUUUACUGAAGGGCUAGAGAUGAUACACUACACGAAAUCACUGAGAUUUUACUUACUGUCCAUGGUAAAGUUUUGCCUGUAGCCGCUGAUGUUGAGCUGAGCGAUGGUGGUGGGGACGUUGUUAACGACAGCCUCAACAUGAUCACUGCUAAAGUCACACCACGACACGUUCAGCUCCUCAAGCCUGGAACAUACAGAACAGAUGGGUAAAGAAACAGACAGGAACAACAUGUACAGUCAUGCUCUUCACCCCACCACAAUACCUUAGCAUAUGUCACUAGAUGAGAUGGCUAAUUAUUUUAUUUUUAUCCAUUUUUUUGACCAAGCAAUUCUGCAAAAGUCCAGUGUGAACACUACUUAAUAAUCAGCAGCUCCACCAUUUAUUUUGGCUCACUUUCAAAGUUCAGUACACAGUGAAAUUACACACUGUCAGAGGCAAAUAUGUCUUUCACACCCUGCGUCCAUUCUCCUUGAGUGAACUGGCUCUCCCAUCUGACAUUCAUUAAUAUGUGAUGUGUUUAGUGUUCACUGAUCCAUAAUAACUGCCUGGUCUAGGUCAUGGUAGUUUAAAUGAGACUGCUAUUUUGGAAAACAGAACUAAUUAACAAAUAAUGGUUAAAAAUAAGACCAAAAAAAAAGCCCGAGACCAAAUAUGGACCAGCAGUUUUUAUCAGAGAUUUCGCUGAAACAAUUAACACAAGUGUGGCAGCUCACUUGUUACACCCCUUUAACCCCUUAUCCACUCGUCUUACUUGGUGCAGGAUUGAAGCAUCUCGGUCAGAGAGUCAGCAGAGAAACCACUACAGCCGCACAGGUUCAGUCGCACCAGCUCUGCGUUCUCACUCAAAGAUCUGCCCAAACACAUGAAACACUAUGAACUCACGUCAUAAGCAAGACUUUAAAAAUAAGCAUUUGUUCCAUCACUUGAGCUCACACACACCGAAGGAUGGAGUCAGACAGGACGAGUCCCUCCACACUGAGGUUCUGCAGCCGACUGCAGCGCGACAGGAUGUCCUCCAGCACAGGUGUCUGCACGGUGCAGCUGGACAGGUCCAAAUGCUGGACACGCAGGAGUCUGCAAGACACUCGGAGUUUAGCGUCAUUAAACCACAACUAAACUCUCCAGUGUAUAUAACGCACACAUACGACUCACUGUGUGUUCUUAAAGCAGGGGUCGCCUAUGCAGGAAUGUGGACAGCGCAGCCUCGACACCCCCGCUGUGAGCACCUGACCCAGCUCGCCAUUCAGCUGUGCUUUUCCCACCAGGUCAGCACUGUGCCACAGCGACUCAUCAAACCUACACACACAAAAAUUAGAUCCAGUUGUCACAAUCACUAAACAGGACAGAUCUAGGGCGUAAACAAAAUGUCACAGGCCAAUGAGUAGAAGUUAUUAAUCUAUUUUUUUUUUUUUUUUUAAGUGCACCAUGUUACAGUUAUAAUCCAGCCAGAGGUUGGAAAUCCAAAAAUACAAUUAACAUUAAUUAUCUUUUCAGAUUAAUAUAUCCUAACACAUUAUUAUGCAAUAGGUAGUCUCGAUGAAGUGAGGGUGUGCAAAUUGUUGCACUCAACUCUACAAAUACUCUAGUCUGAGGGCUUCAGAGUUUUAGUCUGCCUUAACAGCAAGGAACAGGGAAUCCAAAAUGUACAACGAGCAAAGCUUGAAAAGAAAAUAGUCGGUAUGGAACUUACGCCAGUCGAUGCCAGCGCUUGCAGACGUGAGACGUCCUGAGAAGGUCUUGUAACGAGAGACGAGAGAAAAUCCCCAACAGCAGUUCGUCUGGGAGGGUGUCCCAACACAGUACACCUGCAGAUAAACAUCAACAUGUCAUGUUUUCACUUUGGCUAAACGUUUUCUAAAUUGUUGCCCACAAUGAUAUUUAUUAACCUGUUAAUAUAGUGGUGCAGUGGAAUUCUAACAGCUCAUAGGUAUAAAAGGGGAAAAAACCCAUCCCAAAUAUAAUGUGUUUCAGGGUGGACUUUUCCUUUAAAACCAGGUGUCAGAAAUCUGAAAACUACCACAAUGCUGAAAUUAUAACCUACCUGCCGUGUCUCUGCUCCUCCUGGGGCGUCUGGCGAGGACAAAGACAUUUUCUUUGCCCUUGGCACAGGGCCGUGGCUGUUUACGGGGAGGAGACCAGUGCUGGAUAAGCUCGUGAGGAGUGUUUUCAGCCUGCAGUCCAUCUCCAUAAGCACACGGCCUUUUCUUCGCUUUGGACUGAGACAUGCACAACAGAGAGCCAUCGAGAUUCUCAUUCAGACACGGCAACUCCUGGAGAGGCCUGAGAUAUGGGAACAGUCAGCAUUAUUACAUGCAGGUCAUUUUCUUACAUUUCACAAGAUCAUAGGAGGCAUAGAAACCUCGUAUUAUACAUUUUGUGUCUUAAACCACAAGCAAC